This is a long non-coding RNA of Humulus lupulus (European hop), 324 nucleotides long. RefSeq lists it as uncharacterized. The record is from RefSeq and is a predicted model, not a curated record. The transcript has 3 exons. Lineage: Eukaryota; Viridiplantae; Streptophyta; Magnoliopsida; Rosales; Cannabaceae.
AAUUAGAACCGUUGUUUUCCUCAUUUGUCUCAGCCAUCUAACCGUGAGGGAAAAACUGAGAGAGAUUAGAGAAAGAGAACACAUUGUGUUCUUGUAGUGCACGACCACUUCGGGUCCAAGAAGAAGAAGAAGGUAAGAAGAAAGCAAGAGAAAGAAGGGAGUGUUAAUGGAAGUUCGGUACAAGAAUAGUCAGAAGAAAAACCGUUGUGGACUAAGUUGAGGAGAAGAAGGAACCAUCAAUAACCGGCCACAGUAAGAGGUACAAAUUCAUAGAUUUCCUUCGUAGUUUACGGUUCCGAUUUUUCGUUUUCAUUUCUUAGGAUG